UUGUGGAGUCUACUAAGGGUUUCAUCCGCCC
This 31-nucleotide non-coding RNA is filed under the name Homo sapiens (human). The record is from RNAcentral. Lineage: Eukaryota; Metazoa; Chordata; Mammalia; Primates; Hominidae.